Molecule: non-coding RNA, 74 nt
Organism: Potamilus streckersoni
Lineage: Eukaryota; Metazoa; Mollusca; Bivalvia; Unionida; Unionidae
Source: the annotation of a GenBank genome assembly
CACUCCGGUGGCCUAGUGGUUACUGCAUCUGUUUCAGAUGCAGAAGGUCACAGGUUCAAGCCCCAGCUGAGUCA